GGGGGAGAUUGUAAGGGCAUAUUUCUAUCCCAGUAGUUUUGGUGAUUGAUGACGACACUUUUGUGGACUAAUCGUGUGCGAUAAGCCUUUCAGGUAUUUCCUCAAUUGGCACAAAGACGAUUCUUGCCCCUCAGUGUUUUGAUGUGAAGUCAGUUUUCUCUCUUAUUCUUCGUUGUUGGUGGACUUGAGUUGUAGGAAAAGUCGUACU
RNAcentral lists this long non-coding RNA (208 nucleotides) under Hordeum vulgare. RNAcentral's name for it is "long non-coding RNA (HVUL_LNC000447)". The record is from RNAcentral. Lineage: Eukaryota; Viridiplantae; Streptophyta; Magnoliopsida; Poales; Poaceae.